Molecule: transfer RNA, 75 nt
Filed under: Bacillus paranthracis
Lineage: Bacteria; Bacillati; Bacillota; Bacilli; Caryophanales; Bacillaceae
Description: tRNA-Gly
Rfam family: tRNA
About the family: Transfer RNA (tRNA) molecules are approximately 80 nucleotides in length.
Source: RNAcentral
GCGGAAGUCGUUCAGUGGUAGAAUACAACCUUGCCAAGGUUGGGGUCGCGGGUUCGAAUCCCGUCUUCCGCUCCA